Molecule: ribosomal RNA, 777 nt
Filed under: Leuconostoc mesenteroides
Lineage: Bacteria; Bacillati; Bacillota; Bacilli; Lactobacillales; Lactobacillaceae
Description: bacterial SSU rRNA
Rfam family: Bacterial small subunit ribosomal RNA
Source: RNAcentral
GGGAGGCUGCAGUAGGGAAUCUUCCACAAUGGGCGAAAGCCUGAUGGAGCAACGCCGCGUGUGUGAUGAAGGCUUUCGGGUCGUAAAGCACUGUUGUAUGGGAAGAACAGCUAGAAUAGGAAAUGAUUUUAGUUUGACGGUACCAUACCAGAAAGGGACGGCUAAAUACGUGCCAGCAGCCGCGGUAAUACGUAUGUCCCGAGCGUUAUCCGGAUUUAUUGGGCAUAAAGCGAGCGCAGACGGUUUAUUAAGUCUGAUGUGAAAGCCCGGAGCUCAACUCCGGAAUGGCAUUGGAAACUGGUUAACUUGAGUGCAGUAGAGGUAAGUGGAACUCCAUGUGUACCGGUGGAAUGCGUAGAUAUAUGGAAGAACACCAGUGGCGAAGGCGGCUUACUGGACUGCAACUGACGUUGAGGCUCGUAAGUGUGUGUAGCAAACAGGAUUAGAUACCCUGGUAGUCCACACCGUAAACGAUGAACACUAGGUGUUAGGAGUUUUCCGCCUCUUAGUGCCGAAGCUAACGCAUUAAGUGUUCCGCCUGGGGAGUACGACCGCAAGGUUGAAACUCAAAGGAAUUGACGGGGACCCGCACAAGCGGUGGAGCAUGUGGUUUAAUUCGAAGCAACGCGAAGAACCUUACCAGGUCUUGACAUCCUUUGAAGCUUUUAGAGAUAGAAGUGUUCUCUUCGGAGACAAGUGACAGGUGGUGCAUGGUCGUCGUCAGCUCGUGUCGUGAGAAUGUUGGGUUAAGUCCCGCAACGAGCGCAACCCUUAUUU